CUCGUAGGCGGCCUGCCAAGUCCCACGUGAAAGACCAGGGCUCAACCCUGGGAACGCGAGGGAAACUGGCAAGCUGGAAUCUUGGAGGGGGUACUGGAAUUCCUGGUGUAGGGGUGAAAUCUGUUGAUAUCAGGAAGAACACCGGAGGCGAAGGCGAGUACCUGGCCAAAGAUUGACGCUGAUGAGCGAAAGCGUAGGGAGCGAACAGGAUUAGAUACCCUGGUAGUCC
This 229-nucleotide ribosomal RNA is filed under the name uncultured bacterium. RNAcentral describes it as "partial 16S ribosomal RNA". It matches the Rfam family "Bacterial small subunit ribosomal RNA", at positions 568 to 796 of the family's 1533-position model. The record is from RNAcentral.